RNAcentral lists this ribosomal RNA (480 nucleotides) under uncultured bacterium. RNAcentral's name for it is "partial 16S ribosomal RNA". It matches the Rfam family "Bacterial small subunit ribosomal RNA", at positions 28 to 507 of the family's 1533-position model. The record is from RNAcentral.
GACGAACGCUGGCGGCGUGCUUAACACAUGCAAGUCGAACGAUGAAGAAAAGAAUCGAAGCUUCGGCAGAAAUUCAUUUCGGAUUAGUGGCAGACGGGUGAGUAACGCGUGAGCAACCUACCUCUUACAAAGGGAUAGCCUCGGGAAACCGGGAUUAAUACCAUAUAACAUUACGACGAAGCAUUUCGAUGCAAUCAAAGCUACGGCGGUAAGAGAUGGGCUCGCGUCCCAUUAACCGGAUGGUGAGGUAACGGCUCACCAUAGAGACGAUGGGUAACCGGCCUGAGAGGGUGAACGGUCACACUGGAACUGAGACACGGUCCAGACUCCUACGGGAGGCAGCAGUGGGGAAUAUUGCACAAUGGAGGGAACUCUGAUGCAGCGACGCCGCGUGAGUGAUGAAGGAAUUCGUUUCGUAAAACUCUGUUCUAUGGGAAGAAAAGGACUGUACCAUAGGAGAAAGCUCCGGCUAAAUACGUG